This 391-nucleotide unclassified non-coding RNA is filed under the name soil metagenome. Its description in RNAcentral is "partial contains 5.8S ribosomal RNA, internal transcribed spacer 2, and large subunit ribosomal RNA". The stretch from base 1 to 122 matches the Rfam family "5.8S ribosomal RNA", at positions 35 to 154 of the family's 154-position model. The record is from RNAcentral.
GAUGAAGAACGUAGCGAAAUGCGAUACUUGGUGUGAAUUGCAGAAUCCCGUGAACCAUCGAGUCUUUGAACGCAAGUUGCGCCCGAAGCCAUUAGGCCGAGGGCACGCCUGCCUGGGCGUCACACGUCGUUGCCCCCCCAUCUACUCCUUCGGGAUUGCGGGGGGCGGAUGAUGGCCUCUCGUGCGCCUCGUCGCGCGGUUGGCCUAAAUGCCAAGUCCUCGGCGACGCACGCCACGACAAUCGGUGGUUGCGAAACCUCGGUUGCCUGUCGUGUGCGGUCGUCGCGCAUCGAGGGCUCGAAAAAAUUGCCGGGCUUCGGCUCGACUUUCAACGCGACCCCAGGUCAGGCGGGGUUACCCGCUGAAUUUAAGCAUAUCAAUAAACGGAGGA